This is a long non-coding RNA of Bubalus bubalis (water buffalo), 548 nucleotides long. RefSeq lists it as uncharacterized. NCBI's taxonomy places the organism in Eukaryota, Metazoa, Chordata, Mammalia, Artiodactyla, Bovidae. The record is from RefSeq and is a predicted model, not a curated record. The transcript has 3 exons.
AGGAGAGUUGCAGGUCCCAUUACCGUCUGACACAGUAAGAUGCCCAGCGACUUGCUCCAAUUUAAGUAGCAAAGCAACACCGUAAAGAUCUUAAAUAUUUUUAAUAGAGGGGACUUGGCCCACAGGAAACUAGAGUUAGCUUUCUUCUCAGCAGUUCGGAGAAAAUGCUUUUAGCAGAAAAUCCUGCCUGUGGACCAUAUAUUGAAGAUCACGUCGAGAAUAAGUCAAGGUAACAUCGCCGUCCACAGGAGUCUAUGACCUUAAGAAGGAGUAACCACAGAAUACGAAAGGCCCAUUUCAAAGGUCUGGCCUAUAUUUGAUGGUCCAGGUGGAUGGAAGGAGCAGAAAAACUACACUGAGGAGGUUGCUGUGGACAAUAGCAUAUGUGUAGGUGACUGCCUCCAAGGGUUCCUCAGAAAGGAUGCUUAUACGUGCUGCCAACUUCUGGAGGUGUGGGGGAUGGGUAGGGGGAAUGGCAGGGCUUGUUUGCCAUCUGGCUCAAUUACUGAAAAGACUAUGAUCCCUUCCCCACCCACAACUUGGUGUGU